RNAcentral lists this ribosomal RNA (422 nucleotides) under uncultured bacterium. Its description in RNAcentral is "bacterial SSU rRNA". It matches the Rfam family "Bacterial small subunit ribosomal RNA", at positions 355 to 774 of the family's 1533-position model. The record is from RNAcentral.
UGAGGAAUAUUGGGCAAUGCCCGAAAGGGUGACCCAGCAACGCCGCGUGGAGGAUGAAGGUCGUAAGAUUGUAAACUCCUGUUAGAGGGGAAGAAUAACUAAGUUUGGAGCUUAGUAUGACUGUACCCUCAGAGAAAGCCCCGGCUAACUACGUGCCAGCAGCCGCGGUAAUACGUAGGGGGCAAGCGUUGUCCGGAUUUACUGGGUGUAAAGGGCGCGCAGGCGGAAUGGAAAGUCAGUGGUGAAAUCCUACAGCUUAACUGUAGAACUGCCUUUGAUACUUUCAUUCUUGAGUUCGGGAGAGAGAGACGGAAUUCCAGGUGUAGUGGUGAAAUACGUAGAUAUCUGGAAGAACACCUGUUGCGAAGGCGGUCUCUUGGUCCGAUACUGACGCUGAGGCGCGAAAGCGUGGGGAGCAAACA